Ictalurus punctatus (channel catfish) is the source of this 1034-nucleotide long non-coding RNA. The record is from Ensembl. NCBI's taxonomy places the organism in Eukaryota, Metazoa, Chordata, Actinopteri, Siluriformes, Ictaluridae.
CCCAACUCUCAGCGGCGUACUCUUCCCAACGAGGAUCUUGACCUGACGCCGUGUCUUGGUGGGAAAAACAGAUUCGUUACGUCGCCGCGACGCUGUUCCUAACACUCGCGCACGUCGGAUAGAUUUACGCGCGUUUUCAUACUCGAGGAAAAGUGGACCGGAGUCGGGUUCCGGCGAGAUCGUACACACGUCGGAGCAAGGACACGGGUUUAAAAAGAAAGUGGGUGUGACAGAUCGAAACAGAAGGAUGGAAGAGGAUGGAAAGAAGUAGAGAUAGAGAGAUGGAAGAAGGUAGGAAGAACUGACGGGAAGAGAGAAGGAACGAUGGAUAAAAAGAAAGGAAGAAGGGCAGAUGUACAAAAUGAAGAACGGAAGGAUGAGGAAAAGGAGGACUGGAAUACGGAGGCAGGACGGACGAAGUGGGGGGUGGGGGUGGGUGGGGGGGGACGGAUGGAAGGAAGGACACAAAAGGAAGAGUGGGAAAAGAAAGAAAACGAUGGAAGGAGCGCCAGGAAGAAGGGAGAUCAAAAGCGUGAAUGAGUGGAAUGGAGCGAGGGGAAUAAAGAAGGAAGGAAGGAAGAAAAAGGAAAUAAGGAAGGAAGGAGGGAAGGAAAGAAGGCGAGAAGGAAGGAAGGAAGGAAGGAAGGAAAGAAGGAAAGAAGGAAAGAAGGCGAGAGGUAAGGAAGGAAGGAAGGAAGGAAGGAAGAAAAAGGAAAUAAGGAAGGAAGGAAAGAAGGCGAGAAGGAAGGAAGGAAGGAAGGAAGGAAGGAAAGAAGGAAGGAAGGAAAGAAGGAAGGAAGGAAGGAAGGAAGGAAAGAAGGCGAGAAGGAAGGAAAGAAGGCGAGAAGGAAGGAAGGAAGGAAGGAAGGAAGGAAGGAAGGAAAGAAGGAAAGAAGGAAAGAAGGCGAGAAGGAAGGAAGGAAAGAAGGAAGGAAAGAAGGAAGGAAGGAAAGAAGGAAAGAAGGCGAGAAGGAAGGAAGGAAGGAAAGAAGGAAAGAAGGCGAGAAGGGAGGAAAGAAGGCUGAGAAGGAAGG